GUUCAGCCACUCCUAAUCUUUGCUCCUCCCCAAAAGUGCUGCGCUGCUCUCUCUCUCUCAAGAAAUCCAUCAACACUUCCACCACCGCAUUACUAAAAUUUUUAAAACGACCCUGAACUCCUUGACACUCCCAUUUAACUCCGGCGUCUCUUUCCCACAUCCAAAUUCACCUUCAUUUCUUCACCAAAUCAUGCUUUCACUCAACAUCCACGGCCACCUUGAAGAAGCAGACCCGUUUCUAUGUGCAUCUCAACUCGACCCAAGAAUAUUCCAGGCCCCCAGAAAAGAACUUCUCAUCUUCCGAAGCAGAGGACCUGGUUUCGUUCAAUCUUGAGAAUUCAGAGAGAACAAACCACUGGUGACUACUCUCGGUAAGUAUGCCAAGUUUUUGAGAACUGUGUAUUGUUUUAUGCUCUUUGAAGAGCUUGUGAAGAAUGAUAAAUGGCUGCAGUGUCUUGAGGUUUGGUCCCUUGUCAAAGAUUUCAAUUUUUUUCCAUCAUUUUCUUAUUAUUCAUACAUUUACUAAACUUCUUGAGCUAUCUGUUUAGUUAUCUAGGUAUGUUAGGGAUUGUAACUUUAGUACUUUUCGUUGAUUUUAGCAAUUUAAAUGGAAAUUUGAACUUUGCCCAUUUUUACUUUAGUUUGCCUGGAGCUAUGCCCUCAACAAACCCUACAUUUUCGUGUCAUUCUUUUGACAAUAGCCAACUGUCUUGAAAUGUAAGUCAGAGAACACCCAAUGUGAUUUCGAAAAAGAGACGAGGAACGUGUAAAUUUUAUGUGUAGAAAUAUUCGUUGUUGAUUUUAUCCUUUUACCGAUGCAGAUUAUCUUGCUGAUAGAGUCUAUAACCUCAUUCUAGUUUUACUAGAUAAAACUCUGAUAUCUCAAGCUCUGUCUUUGUAAUUUUAUCUACCACAGAUAAUAUUAUGCAUUUUUUCACAUAGGUCUUCUCAAGCGCAUAUCCUAAUUGGUUCGUGUUGACUUUAUAUUGUGAUGUCUGUUUUUAGGGGAUGGGGUGAAUUUUAUUCAUGUACCUGAGCAUGUGCAAUUUUGCUGUACUCAAAAUAUGCAUGUCAAUGUGAGUGCCUGUGGAUAUGUGAUGGUUUGCCUCAUGCGAGUGUGCUUGACAGAAGAUGCAAAAUUUUGUUAUUAUAUUGAGAUAUACACAAACCAAGUGUAAGUCUUCUUCAUUUGUGUAUGAAGCACUUCGUGAACUUGAACUCAUAUUGGUGUAAAUUUUGGAGACAAUUGAAAGAUUAACUAAUUUCUUGUGAACUGAAGAUUUGUCGAGGGUUAAGGCAAGAACAAAUGAAGGUAUAGUAUGCUAACUUAUAGAAGAUAAUGAAAGAAAAUACUAAGAUAUGUGGUUGAGAUUCGGAUGAAAUUCAUUCCACGGUUGAGAUCAAAUGGUACAUAUAUCUUUUCUUGUAAAGGAUAAUGAAGCUAAAGAUAAUGUGAAAAUAAAAGUGCAGUUGAGAUUCGAAUGAAAUCCAUUCAACUACUAUUUGAUCUCAACAGUUGAAUCGCACGCAUUUAUUUACGCAUUAUCUUUUGCUUCAUUAAAAAUUAAUGAAGCAAAAGAUAAUGUGUAAAUAAAUGUGCGUGGUUGAGACUUGAAUGAAAUCCAUUCAAUGUUUGAGAUCAAUUAGUACAUAUAGCUUGUCUUAUAAAGGAUAAUGAAAUCAUUCAACGGUUGAAAUCGAAUAGUCCAUUCAAUCGUAUCUCUAUAAAUGUGAAUCCCUCAUUCAAUUCAGUUCAUCGUAAGUACGAAUUUCAAUAUUGGAGGUCCAUCAAAUAUUUCAUCUUCUGCUUCAUCUUCAUUAUCCGGCGGUGAAAGUGAUAAUAAAGUAACACUUUCAAAUGAGCUUGAAUAUAUAAAUGUGAAUCCCUCACUCAAUUCAAUUCAUCGUCAAGUAUGAAUUUCAAUAUUGGAGGUCCAUCCAAUAUUUCAUCUUCUGCUUCUGACAGUGAAAGUGAUAAUGAAGUAACAUUUACGAAUGAGCUUGAAUCUAUUGGUGCAGAACAAGAAGCGAUUCUUCGCAUUUAUUCCAACGACAUCCUUGUUGAUCAUUAUUUCAGUCAAUAAAACAGCGAACCGAUCCAUGAAGGUUCCACUUACAGUCAUGUGAUAAUCCACCAGGAUCGAAAAAUGUUGAUAGAAAUAUGUUUGAUGACUAUUUUUCUAAGACGCCAUGUUAUAAUGAAAAUUUAUUUAGUCGAUGAUUUCGAAUGUCUUGAAGUUUAUAUGUAUGUAUUCUUGAGGCCAUGCAAGAUCAUGACAACUAUUUCGUACGGAGAAGGGACUCGAAUUAUCAGCUUAUUAAAAAAUAACAGUUGUAUUUCAUUCGUAUGGAGUCGUAGCAGAUGCUAUAUAUGAAUACAUUAAAAUAGGAGAAUCCACUGCAACUCAAAGUUUUAAGAGAUUUUGUCGUGCUAUUGUGGAGGUGUUUGGAGAUCAAUAUCUAAGAUCCCCUAAUGCUAAUGACAUUAUGAGGCAACUCUGUAUUGGUGAAUAAUGUGGUUUUCGAGGAAUGCUGGGUAGUCUAUAUUGUAUGCACUAGAAGUGGAAAGAUUGUCCAAUGGCUUGGGCAAGACAAUAUGCAAGUCCUAGUAAAACGCAACUAUUGUUCUUGAGGUUGUAGCUGAUUAUAAUCAUUGGAUUUGGCACGCAUAUUUUGAUUUACCAGGUUCCAACAAUAAUAUUAAUGUGUUGGAGGCAUCUCACCUUUUCGCGAACCUAAUCGAAGGUAUUGCUCCUCCCGUUCAUUAUGUUAUUCAAGGAAAUGAAUAUAAUAUGGGUUAUUAUAUAGCAGAUAGUGUAUACCCAAAAUUGUCUACUUUUGUUCAAACAAUUCAUGAUCCAUGCGGUCCCAAAAAAAAAUUAUUUGCUAUGAAACAAGAAGGAUGUAGAAAAGAUAUAGAAUGUGCAUUUGGUGUUCUGCAAUCAAAAUUCAAAAUUGUGUACAUGUAUGUGGGACAAACUUGUCUUAAAUGAUAUAAUGACUGCGUGCAUAAUUACGUACAAUAUGAUAAUUGAGGAUGAAUGUGAUGUUAAUGCCCAAAUUGAAGAUUUGAUGGAAGUGUCAACUUCGGAAAUCAGAGUUGAUUGUAGAUGAAAAUACCCUACUUUAAGAAUUCCUUUCUCAACAUAGACAAAUCAAGGAUGUAGAUGCGUACCUUGCACUUCGAGAUGCGUUAGUUGAUCAUAUAUGGGAUGAAUACACUAAUUCCGAUCGAUAAGUGACAAAAUGAGUUGUUCUUCUCGCUAUAUGUAAUUUUCCUCGUGUGUUUAAUGUGGUUUUUAUAAUUUGUGGUAAUAUGUUUAAUGUCUUUUUCAUUUUAUUAAUAAAUUCAAUAUUUUACUUCAUUAAAUAUAUAAUUAAUGACUUCUGUAAUAAUAUAAUUUCUAAAAUAAAAUUUAGUGUAAGAGAUAGAAAGUGGGAGGUAGGAGAAAUAAUAUUUAAAUAAUAUAUGUUAAGAUUUGACAUUGUUGAUGGGGAUAUACUUAAUUAACUAAUUACCAAAAUUCCUUUCAAUAUAUAUAUAUAUAUAUAUGAAAUGUUAAAAUAAUUCUCCAAAUAGGUAGUAUAGUCAAGAAGUUUUAUUCAAAUUAAAAAUCACAGGGGCGGGAGAGUUUUGUGCUCAUCGACAAAGAAAAUAUGGAAAUGAACGAACCUUACCUCAGACUAAUUGGAGUUUCAUGCAUAAAAUUAAUAGCUGCUCUCUUAGUUUAUGUGGCUGUUGUAUCAAUGACUGAUGGUGGGUCAUGGCUUGGUAGUACGUGUUGAGGGGAAGUAAGUUACUGAACAAAAAUGUUUAGGAGUGGUAAAGCAAAUUCUGAGGCAUCUUAGUAUCUCAGUUUACACAGAAAUCUAAGUUAGAAAGGUCCCACCCCACUUCUUGUCCUUUGUUACUAUUGUAGUGAGCUCCAUUAACUCUGGAAUUUUGUUAUCAUUAACAAAAUGAAAACGUUCGUUACUUAUGUCUCUACAUUCAGGUGUUCAGAUGGAUGCAAAAGCUGCGGUGGUACAUAGCGGACAAUGGGGGUCUAUUCUAAGUUGAUAUUAGUUAUGGGAGAAAAGGGGCAAACUCAGAUGGACACUGGCUUUUUCUGAGAUGCAUAAUAGUGGUUGUAGGCCUGAUACAUCGGUCUUCAAUGCACUGAUCACUGCUCACACCUUCACUUCCGGGAUAAAUCUAAGGCGGUGGCCAAGGAUCUGGGAUAUUUUGACAAGAUGAAGCGAAUGGAGCGUUUUAAACCCAAUGUUGUAACAUAUGACAUCCUUUUGCGAGCUUUUUCUCAGGCAAAAAAUGUUGGUCAAGUUAAAUGUUUUGUUUAAAGAUCUUGAUGAGAGCAUUGUGACCACCCCAGAUUUUUCACAUAUAAUGGUGUGAUGGAUGCCCAUGGAAAAAAUGGGAUGAUCAGGGAAAUGGAAUCUGUGCUUUCUAUUAUGAAGAGCAAUCAGUUGAAGCCAGACAUCAUCUCAUUUAAUUUGUUGAUCGAUUCCUAUGGGAGCAAGCAGGAGUUUGAAAAGAUGGAACAAGUGUUCAAGUGCUCGUUGCUUUCUAAUCACAAACCAACACUUCCUACAUUCAAUUCCUUGAUCACAAACUAUGGAAAAACACGUCUCACAUCGUAAUAAGACACUUACACGUGAUAAAGUUUGGUUUAUAUCCCAUACAUCUAUGCAAAAACCCCGUCUUUCGCGAACGCACCAAACACAUUGAUGUUAGAUUACAUUUUAUUAGAGAUAUUGUGUCACAAAAAGUGGUAAGACUUGAAAAGAUACAUACACAGUAUAACCCAUCGGACAUGGGCAUUAAGGUGAUGUCAUUGGUGAAGUUUAGAAAUUGCAUGGAUCUUCUAAACAUUGGUGGAGGUAAUUAAUUUUUAAUUUUAUUGAUUCCUAAUAUUAGAAGUAUUAUAAACAGGUAAGGAUGUCAACAAGUCGAGUCGAAAUUCUAGGCUCAGGAUUGGCUGGAGUAAAAUGUCCAAACUUUUUUUCGGGCCCAAGCCGUUGCUCGACAAAAAAAUUAGGCUCGACCCGAGCUGUCUUUUCGAGUCAAGCCAGGUCAGCUUGGUUUUUUUUUUUUUUUUUUUUUUUAAACUAAAAAGCUCGUCUCGACUUUUUUUUUUAAACUAAAAAGGCAGCGGCAGUAACUGCUACCUUAAAUGGUAGCAACUAAAAUUUUAGUUGCUGCCAAACAAGGUAGCAAACUGUUGCCCAUUUUUGGCGGCAGCACGUUGCCUUAAAAGGUAGCGUGUUGUUGUCUUUACUUUUUUUAAAAAAUAUAUGCUCGGUUUUUUCGAGUCGUCGAGCCACACGGGCUGGUUCGGGCUUUGUCCGGUACCUAAAAAUGGGACUUGGACAGAGUCUCGAGCUUUUUCCGAGUCGACGAGCCCGAUUGCUAUUCCUAUUAACAGGUGAUAAUGUUUUCUUUUUAGGUCUUUUGACACAAAGGUGAAGGUUUGUUAAGCAAAUUGUUGCCAAAUAACCUCCCCGGGCUAUAAUGUAACUUGGUAAUUUUCUCAAUCGGCAUCGAUCUAAUAAUUGAAGGAUAGAUUGACGCCAAAGUGAAAUGACUUGAUCUAAAAACUGUUUGGGCCAUUUGAAACAGCCUAAUUUUAAUUAGAGCUGCUUACGGCCCAUUUCGCGGCUAAUAUUAGAUAACCCAUUUAUGUGCCCAUUUAUAUCCAUAAUGGGCUCGACACCCUAAUUGAUACCUAUAUAUUCUUUGGGGCACUUGUCCUCUUGGUAAUAUGAAUUCACCCCUUUCUCUCUUCUCCGUGUGGGACUCUCUCUGUGUGGGUCUUUCUUACCGUUUUCUUCAUUGCCUUCGUGGUUAUCUCUCAUCUUCAUGAUUAUACUUUUCAUUACACAUCUUAAGUGGGUGAACUAAAGAGCAACUGUGAUCAAGAGGGUGGUUUGAGGGAUUUUGGAUGAUUUGCAUAUUGGUGUUGAUUUGAGGAGAAACUGAGCCCGGUUCAAGCCUUGGUGGUCAUCAUCUUCUGCACAACACUGUCACUCUCUUAAGUUACUUGGGGUUUCUUGGUAACUCUUGAUUCUAAGAUUAUACGAGAUGAUAAUUCAGAUAUGUCAUACUGAAUUGGAAGUCAACUUGUACAAAGAAUGUCAAGAAGGAAACUCUUCUGACAAGUUAUUUAAAUGGCUUAGAAAUCAGCAUAAAUUAUUACAGAAUUUUGGUGAUAAAUAACUAACUGGAAUAUCCCUUUUUUUCCCUUAAUAAAAAGUAAUUGGUUUAUCUUGUGUGUAUACUAUAACUUAGAGACAUUUCAGAAAUACUAAUAUAUGGUCUUGCUCUUGCUGUAUUGUGAAGAUUAGAUGAUUUCAGAAGUAAGAAAUUGGAGCUUCACUUUUACCUCAAUAAAAAGGCUUUCUCUUGAUAUUAUUUUUUAACCUGAUUCAGAAGCCCAUAACAAAAAUGACAAUGAGAAGCCAAUCUUCCAGCUUAUGAUCAUCUGUCAUUCUUAUGCAAAAGAAAUUUCUUGCAAUUAGGUUGUCAAUGUCUCAGGGUUCAUUAAUAUCUACCAUGAUUAACAUCCUUAUGAAUUGAAUCUGAAAAUAAUUAAAUUUGACAACUUAAAAACUUUAAUUGAGAUACUUGUGUUUUGCAUCUUGAGCAGAAUUAUAAAAACUAAAUUUUGGUUUAGCUUUCUUCGAAUUGGAUUUUUAGUUUUUGAAUUUCUAAUUCUUGAAAUAAAAUUGAAUAAACUAAAUUCAUUCAUUUUAUACAUCAAUUAAUUUGUGUGACAUUAUAAGUAAUAUUCAUGUUUAGUACAUUCUUUCACAUAUAGGUGGGAAUGCAUGAACUCACUUAUUGACGAAGAGAUAUUUCAUAAAUAGGGUGGAGUUAUAGGCUUAUAGUAGAUAUCUUGGGCACAUUCCAAAUGAAUUACAUCUGAUAUUGACAUAGAAAGCCUUCUCACAAGAAAAAGUAAAUCUCAUAGUAAAUUUAAUGAUUUGAGAUAUGGUCGAACUAGUUUAGUUAAAAUUUAACACGAUUGUGUAAUUGAGAGUGAAUAAAGGAAUGAUGUGUUCUCAGUCAAACAAAGUGAGAAGAGGAAGGUUAGAGCAAAAUUAAUGUCAUGUUGCUUUAAUCUUCCAUUUGAUUAGAGCAAAAUUAAUAUGUCAUGUUGCUUUAAUCUUCAUUUGAUUGGAAUUGAACCGAAAUGCGUAAAAGGAUUUAUGUACUUGAAGCCGGCUUAGCCAUUGGCUAUUGACUCAUCCCCUUGUCUACAAUCCUUAGGUCUAUUGGUGCCUUCUCUAAGACCCAUGGUAUACUCUUAUCAGUUAACAUUUAAUACCUCUCUCCUCACUUUCACUAAGGAAAUGCUCUUGAGCAUGGCUUUACCUAGCCGACCUCAAAUUUAUCGGAAGGAGGCUUACUUUGUUGUUGUUGUUGUUGUUGUUGUUGUUGUGUAUAUAUAUGUAUAUUUUAGCGUCAACUCAAGCCUCUGUACUUAUUUGUGCCCAUACCAUUUCUGAUGAGUUUCCUUGGUUCUUUUGCCACAGGUACAAAUUUCCGAGAACAAGUGUAUGAAUGUUUUUAGACAUGCUACUAAUUCAAAGAUGCAUCUUUAAGUGAUGAAAAAUGCUGUAGAGGUGAUAUCUUAGGACAUACUUUGGUACACGUAACAUGGAUAUGUUAUAUGCUGUCAUGCUAAUGUUCCUUGCUCUCUAAACAAGCUUUUGAUUUGUACUCCAUCCGUCUCAUAGAGAUAGACGUGCUUUCCUAUUUCGUGUGUCUCAAAAUAUAAGCCACAUUUUUUCUUUUAUUGUUUAUUAUUUUUAUAUUUUGGGUAACUCAGGUGUUCGAGUUUCACUCAACUAAUUUCGAGAAGUGACAACCUUCCCUCUUGGUUUGCUAUUCGGGUAAAUUCGGAUGUGGCUACAGCUUAUACAUAUUUGGACCGGACAUCGGGGAUGCAAUUAUUCCUGUGGAUCGGACUUUCUUUUACGACUUUUGGAUAAGACUCCGGAGGGAUGAUAAAGUAUACCAUAACUCUGUAUCUACAUGACGAUAUCCUUCCAACAUAAACGUUGCCACUUUUCUUAUCAAGAAUGUAGUUGAUUUUUUAUUUUUCUAAUAUGUCCUUAUUUAAUAAGCAUUGUUAUUAACAUAUAUGAACUACUCAUAUUUAAACUAUUAUUGAAUUUAAGAGUAUAUUAGAACAAAUAUUGAGAGAAAAUUAUAUUAAUUACAUUUUCUUAAUCUGUGUAAAAGUGAAAUAAGCCUAUUUUUAUGGGACGGAUGGAGUAUUAUUCUUUUGUUUGUCAAUUUUGAUUCCUUCAUUUCCUUUAGCAUGGCAUUUGUAGCGUCCCAUUUUCUAUCAUGCAUGUAAGUUACUUUUGCUUUCUUGUUUUAAUGACUUAAAAAUUUAGCAGGCGUUUUGCUCUUCAGUGCCG
Molecule: long non-coding RNA, 8427 nt
Filed under: Olea europaea subsp. europaea
Lineage: Eukaryota; Viridiplantae; Streptophyta; Magnoliopsida; Lamiales; Oleaceae
Source: RNAcentral